Molecule: non-coding RNA, 93 nt
Organism: Mycena latifolia
Lineage: Eukaryota; Fungi; Basidiomycota; Agaricomycetes; Agaricales; Mycenaceae
Source: the annotation of a GenBank genome assembly
GGCCUGGUGGUGUAGUGGUAAUGCACCUGCUCUACAUCAGAUAGCGACGAAAGGCUUCAGCAGGGGAUCCUUGUUCGAAUCAAGGCCAGGCCA